CCGCGAAAACUAUUUAGGUAGUGCGUCGACCGAAUACACCAGGAGGUAGAGCACUGGAUGGGCUAUGAGGACUCACCGUCUUACUGAUCCUAACCAAACUCCGAAUACCUGGGAGUACUAGUCGGCAGACACACGGCGGGUGCUAACGUCCGUCGUGAAGAGGGCAACAACCCUGACCUCCAGCUAAGGUCCCCAAGUCAUGGCUAAGUGGGAAAGGAUGUGAGGAUCCCAAAACAACCAGGAUGUUGGCUUAGAAGCAGCCAUCAUUUAAAGAAAGCGUAACAGCUCACUGGUCUAAUUAAGGGUCUUUGCGCCGAAAAUGUAUCGGGAAUUAAGCCAUGUACCGAAGCUUAGGGUGUGUACGCAAGUAUACGCGGUAGCGGAACGUUCCGUAAGCCUGUGAAGGAGGACCCGUGAGGGCCUCUGGAGGUAUCGGAAGAGCGAAUGCUGACAUGAGUAACGAGAGGAGUGUGAGAAACACUCCCGCCGAAAGUCCAAGGGUUCCUGCGUAAAGCUAAUCUGCGCAGGGUGAGCCGGCUCCUAAGGCGAGGGCGAAAGCCGUAGUCGAUGGGAACCACGUUAAUAUUCGUGGGCCAGCAGGUGGUGACGAAUUCAAGAAGCUGUCUGAAGUUAUCGGAUUCAGAAGGCAGUCAAUGAGUUCCAGGAAAUAGCCCCUGCAUCAGACCGUACCCGAAACCGACACAGGUGGACAGGUAGAGUAUACCAAGGCGCUUGAGAGAACGAUGCUGAAGGAACUCGGCAAAUUACCCUCGUAACUUCGGGAGAAGAGGGCCCCGUCCAUGGGCAACCAUAGGCGGGGGGCACAGGCUAGGGGGUGGCGACUGUUUAACAAAAACACAGGGCUCUGCGAAAUCCUAAGAUGACGUAUAGGGCCUGACGCCUGCCCGGUGCCGGAAGGUUAAGAGGAGGGGUGCAAGCUCCGAAUCGAAGCCCCGGUAAACGGCGGCCGUAACUAUAACGGUCCUAAGGUAGCGAAAUUCCUUGUCGGGUAAGUUCCGACCUGCACGAAUGGCGUAACGACCUCCCCACUGUCUCCAGCAUCGGCUCAGUGAAAUUGAAUUCCCCGUGAAGAUGCGGGGUAAUUGCGGUCAGACGGAAAGACCCCGUGCACCUUUACUAUAGCUUUACACUGGCAUUCGUGCUGGCAUGUGUAGCAUAGGUGGUAGGCUUUGAAGCGGAGGCGCUAGCUUUCGUGGAGCCGCAAUGUGAAAUACCACCCUUGUUGACAUGGAUGUCUAACCGCGGUCCCUUAUCGGGAUCCGGGACAGUGUAUGGUGGGUAGUUUG
Molecule: ribosomal RNA, 1307 nt
Filed under: plant metagenome
Description: bacterial LSU rRNA
Rfam family: Bacterial large subunit ribosomal RNA
Source: RNAcentral